This 715-nucleotide long non-coding RNA is filed under the name Coturnix japonica (Japanese quail). RNAcentral's name for it is "lncRNA (ENSCJPG00005007902.1)". Lineage: Eukaryota; Metazoa; Chordata; Aves; Galliformes; Phasianidae. The record is from RNAcentral.
GCAAAUAGACAUGCUCCAUAUGUUUACUGAAAAAAUGGAUCCCAAACGAUUCUUCUCCUCUGCAGGUUAUUGUUCUAUACUCUACAUAAAGAGAAUCCACUUUGACAAGGAUAUGGGAGAGAGUGAGAAGAGGACAGCCUAGAACAUGACCAUGCAAAGAUGUUUGUCCCCAAAGUAGGAGUCUCAUUUUGGAAGAAUAACAAAUACAAAAUGCUCUUGUACAGCCGUGAUUGCCAUGAAAAGGUUUUGGUGACUUCUCCUGCCUCUUCCUGUACAGGUUCAUGCUGUUGCUGGUCCCGUCCACAGCUGAACUCACAAAGCUGUGUGCACUCAUCUCUGAGUACCGUGUGUAGCCGCUCCUCCCAUCCCGCAGUGGUACCGCUGUAGGACAGAUGACUGCGGCUCCAUCCGAAAGACGUGCGUGCAGACGGGUCCCUCCCCGGAGCCGGUGGGAAGGGACGUGGGAUUCACACAAAGGCCGAUUUAGCCAAAAGGUGGCACUGCGGCUGCACAGAUUCGAGGCGAUCGGCGGUCCCGCAGACGCUGAUGAGCCCUUCGGUCCGUGUAUUCGAACUCCGCGUUUUGUACCUUGAGAUCGGUGAGCCUUGAAAACCGACUUAAUACCGCCCGAACACGAGAAUAACAGCAGCAACCACUUUAGUAACUGUACUGUGAAGGUAAUAAAUACUUUAUCCUUUCUUUAGUGAACCCGAAU